GGCACGUGCGCCGGGGGCCGGCUGGGCGCGAGGGGAGGGAGGCCGGCGGGCCGGCGGGGGCCGACCCCGACCCCGACCCGACCCGACCCGAUCCACCCCGGAGCUCGGGCCUGGCCGGCUAGGUCUCGCCCCCAGCGCCCUGGCUGGGCUGCGUCGGCGAGAAGUCAAAAGAAUACAGCUCAAGGUGAUAGUAUGAAGCAGAUCUAUUUGGCAUCUGUAAGGCAUUGGAAGUUGCAUCUCUUGUGGAAGGAUCUAAUACCAUGAUCAGAAGAACUUUGGAUACGUCUUUUCACUGUGACGUUGCGGUAUACGCUUGACAAGUUUUGAAAAGAGAUUUUUCUACCGACUCUACCGACUAACAUUUCGUCUGUGAAGCCAGGAGUCUCCGUAAAGGUUAAAAAUAAUUCAGCUGUAUUGUGUUGAACUUGAUUGAAGUGUCGUGAACAGUGUCUGGAGGGCAGAAGAACCAGUUCUGUCUUGUUGCGAUGGGUUUAGUCUGUUUACUUUCCUGGUGCCCCGUCGCUGAAGCUGGGGCUGAGAGGCCUGCUGAGGAAUGUUUCUUCCGGAGUUCCGACAGGCUCAGCUAUUUGUCCCAGCCUCCGAAGCUGCUUGGCUACAGGCCCACACAAAGUGCUAUAAGAAUUCAGAGGACAGAGAGAACAUUUCUGGCAGUGGACAGAGUCCUGAGUGAGCACAGAACGCAUUAUGGAAUCUGGACAUGAGUGUUUGUUUCCUCCACUGAACUGUGAACUCCUCCUAGGUAGAGAUGAUGUGAUACACCUUUGGAUAUCUGUGUCUCCAAGACCUAAUGGUACAAUUUUGACACAAAGUUUUAAUGUGUGUCCAGAUUUUCUUAGAGCCCUUGCCUUGGAACUGCCCACCGCAAGAGUAUGAAGUCUGGGGAGCAGGCUCAGGGUCCAGGUGGAGCCAGGAGGAUGGCAGUGGCUCUAGGGUUGGGACCAAGAUGGCAGAGCAGGAAGAUCCUGAGCACACCUCCUCUCAUGGACACAGUAAAACUACAACUACAUAUAGAACAAUUAUCUUUGAGAAUGACCUGAAGACUAGCAGAACAGAUUUUCUACAACUAAGGAUAUAAAGAAAAGGCCGAAUCAAGACAGCCAGGAGGGGCAGAGUUGCAGUCUAGUCCAAACCUGCACCCCUGCUGUGGUGACCCACAGGUGGUAAGGAUGAUCACAACCACAGAGGCCUUGAGGAGGAGGGCUCUGAGCCCCACGUUGGGCUCCCUAGCCCAGGUGUCCUGCACUGGGAAGAUGAGCCUCAUAACGUUCUUUAUAUUAGAUAUAAAGAAACACAGACUGAAAGUGAAGGGAUGGAAAAAGAUAUUCCAUGCAAAUGGUUGAAAAGAAAGCUGGGGUAGCAAUACUUACGUCAGAGAAAAUAGUCUUUAAAACAAAUACUGUAACAAGAGAAAAAAAGGCACUUAACAUAAUGAUAAAGGGAUCAAUCCAACAAGAAGAUAUACAAGAAGAUAUAACACAUAAUGAUAAAGGGAUCAAUCCAACAAGAAGAUAUACAAGAAGAUAUAACACUUGUGAAAUAUAUGCACCCAACAUAGCAGCAUAUAAAUACAUAAAGCAAAUAUUAACAGACAUAAAGGGAGAUGUUGAGAGUAAUGCAAUAGAAGUAGGGAAUUUUAACAUCCCACUUACAUCAAUGGAUAGAUCAUCCAGACAGAAAAUCAAUAAGGAAACAUUGCCCUUAAACAACACGUUAGAGUAUAUGGGCUUAAUAGAUACAUAUAGAACAUUCCACCCCAAAAGAGAAGAAUACACAUUCUUUUCAAUUGUACAUGCAGCAUUCUCCAGGAUAGAUCACAUAUUAGACCACAAAGAAAGUCUCAAUACAUUUAAGAUUGAAAUCAUAUCAAGCUUGGGAGAUUGGGAUUGACAUAUAUACACUAAUAUGUAUAAAAUGGAUAACUAAUAAGAACCCGCUGUAUAAAAAAAUAAGUAGGGCUUCCCUGGUGGCGCAGUGGUGAGAGUCCACCUGCCGAUGCAGGGGACACGGGUUCGUGCCCCGGUCCGGGAAGAUCCCACGUGCCGUGGAGCGCCUAGGCCUGUGAGCCAUGGCCACUGAGCCUGCGCGUCUGGAGCCUGUGCUCCGCAACGGGAGAGGCCACAACAGUGAGAGGCCCACGUACUGCAAAAAAAUAAAUAAAUAAAUUUUAAAAAAUUAAAAAAAAAAAAAAGAGGCAGGAGGGUCAAAGUUAGAGAAGAUGCAAGGUUGGAAGCAGAGAUCAGAGAGCUGAAAAGAUGCUAAGCUGCUGAUUUUGAACAUGGAGGAAGGGGCCAUGAGCCAAGGACUGUAGAUGGCCUCUAGAAGCUGGAGAAGGCAAGAAAACGGAUUCUCAGAGCCUCCAGAAGGAAAGCAGCACUGCUUACACUUAACGGUCUCUACAUUUUUUAAGAUCAAUGUGGAGACAUUCAUUUGAAUAGAACUAAUAAAUAGGCUCUUGGAUUGUUUGAUAAACCAAUUAAUGAAAAGGAGGGAACUGUACGAACACACUGGGAGAAGGCUGAAAUUCUUUGCUGAUUUGACACAAUUUACAGGCAUCAAUGAAGAUAUUAUAAACUCAACACACAACCUCAAGGAGGACAUCAAUGACAAAUUGGUUAAUAAAUGUCAUCAAUUCAAAGCAUAUUUAACACUUAUGAUUCGUCACUGCACAAGAAAAUGUGAAAUGCCUGAAAUCUUAUUCUUUUUUUAAAUUAAUUAAUUAACUUUUUUAAAAAAGUAAUAAUAUCAAGCAUGAUAUGAAAUUAGAAAUGAAUUACAAGAAGAAAACUGGAAAAAACACAAACAUGUGGAGGCUCCACAACAUGCUACUAAACAACAAAUAGGUUAACAAAGAAAUCAAAGAGGGCUUCCCUGGUGGCGCAGUGGUUGCGCGUCCGCCUGCCGAUGCAGGGGAAC
Molecule: RNA transcript, 2934 nt
Organism: Physeter macrocephalus (sperm whale)
Lineage: Eukaryota; Metazoa; Chordata; Mammalia; Artiodactyla; Physeteridae
Gene: CNIH3
Gene name: cornichon family AMPA receptor auxiliary protein 3
Exons: 6
Source: RefSeq, a predicted model, not a curated record